UCUGUUACCAUUGUUAGCUAAUUAGACUCUCCAACUAAACAGGCUCUCUAAGCACACAUAUAAUCUAACCAGUCUCACUAACCACACAUUUCUCUUUCUAUUGUGCUUUUUUUUUCUUCUGUGUGUAUUUGUGACGGAGCUCCAGCUCUGCAUUGAACGGUCAGAUGUGACCGGUGUGGUUGGGUUGUCUAAAGACUGUUUACAAAAACUGCUCUGCAGUGAACAGUCAGAUCUGUGGUGGGACCCUCUGACGAAUGUUCACAAAAACUGCUCUGCAGUGAACAGUCAGAUCUGUGCUUGGGUUGUCUAAAGACUGUUUACAAAAACUGCGUCUUUGCCUGUGCCGCCUAUUGGAGGCAUGGCAUUUCUUCACUAUGCCUCUAUGGAAUCCAGCAGCUCCCAGUGCAAUUAAUAGCUUAGUCCAGAGCUGGCUGUAUGGAGCUGCAGGGCUGUGCAGGGCCGCCAGGAGGCGCUGCUGCUUCUGAUUUAGUCAGGGCUGAUUCAGCUGUGGGCUCAGCGAGCACUGAUGCUCACCUCCUCACACUGCAAUACUCCAAAGAAUACUUUACAUAACAUGUUACUACUAAAAUUAUUAAACACUAACACAUUACUGUCCCUUCACAGAAGGAGGAGGUUAUCUUUUUCUUUUUUCUCCACAUAGUUAUUGUUAAUAAUAAUAAUAAUAAUAAUAUUUUUUAUUAUUAUUAUAUUAUUAUUGCUACUAUUAUCAUCAUCAUACUGUGAAUCUCACACCUAUUCUCCAGUCUUCUGGAUGUCCAGUCAUGUUCAUCAUUUCCCACUCAUUCAUCACCUGUGAUCAGGUAAUAAAGAAGUUAUUAAGCAAGAAGUUAUCAGCAAGAACAGAGCAGACGUAUGUAGUCUAGUAUGAAGAUGAUCCGUGCAGAGACUCAAGAGAACUCCAGACAAACGUCCAACUAAGCUUCUUUAAUAUAUAUAAAUUGUACUAAAUGUACUAAAAUUCAUUUUCAUUGAGCAUAUAUGCAGCUGAAACAGGGAGCCAAGUGCAUCCCAAAUUGAUCAACAUUAACAUUUUAAUAUAACAGUCAUUAUGGCUUUUAGAAAAAUGUAAUUUUUUCCCAUAAGAUUACUUUUAUAUUUUAGGUUGGUUGGAAACCAGUACUUUUACAGUUUUAUUUGAGUAAAAAGCCUAAGGUAAUAUUUCCUCUUCAGAAGUGUUUUUUAACCGUAGUAUCAAUACUUCUGUAAUAAAUGUGAUAAAUGUCCAAAAAAUAAACAACCAUAGGUAACAGGGCUGUAUAUUGACAAGAACCUGGCGAUAUGAUGCAUAUCACGAUACAGGGGUUAUGAUUCAACAUAUCACAAUACUGUAAGCAAGUCAAUAUCUUGC
Astyanax mexicanus (Mexican tetra) is the source of this 1369-nucleotide long non-coding RNA. RefSeq lists it as uncharacterized. The record is from RefSeq and is a predicted model, not a curated record. The transcript has 5 exons. NCBI's taxonomy places the organism in Eukaryota, Metazoa, Chordata, Actinopteri, Characiformes, Acestrorhamphidae.